CCUCUUCAGGGAAAGCGAUUAAAAGGGAAUCAGGUGUAAAUCCUGAACAGUCCCGCUGCUGUAAGUUUCGCACAAUGUUGCAGGCAAUCACCCUCUAUGCCACUGGAACACUCUUCCGGGAAGGCGUCUACAACAGAAACAAGUCAGAAGACCUGCCAUGCACAUUU
This 167-nucleotide non-coding RNA is filed under the name uncultured Bacteroides sp. The record is from RNAcentral. Lineage: Bacteria; Pseudomonadati; Bacteroidota; Bacteroidia; Bacteroidales; Bacteroidaceae.